Molecule: ribosomal RNA, 74 nt
Filed under: Salipaludibacillus aurantiacus
Lineage: Bacteria; Bacillati; Bacillota; Bacilli; Caryophanales; Bacillaceae
Source: RNAcentral
ACACGGAAGUUAAGCUCUCCAGCGCCGAUGAUAGUUGGGGGCUCUCCCCCUGUGAAAGUAGGACGUCGCUGGGC